Long non-coding RNA from Papaver somniferum (opium poppy), 786 nucleotides. RefSeq lists it as uncharacterized. The record is from RefSeq and is a predicted model, not a curated record. The transcript has 3 exons. NCBI's taxonomy places the organism in Eukaryota, Viridiplantae, Streptophyta, Magnoliopsida, Ranunculales, Papaveraceae.
UGAAGUCGGAUGAGCUUCAUUUGCCAAAAAACUGUUGAUUAAAAACAUACCUAAACCAAUGUUGAGAGCAGAUUAAAUGGAAGAAGAAUCCUAUUGUUGUUUGUGACUUGAGUAGGUUUAAGAUGGCAGUAAUGUUGCUGGUUAGUGGAUUGAUUCUGUACAAGAAGAAGAAGAGGAGUGUUUUUGGUCAUUCGUCAUCUGGUCCUUGCGGACUCGGAAAUUUAUCACUGAUGGGAAUCCUUCGUUGGACCGUAUCAUAUCUACAUCCUUGGUAGAUUCAACUUCGGAUCCAAUGUCCUAUUUAUAUGGGAAAAUCGGCAUGAAUUUGCAAAUUUGCAAUGUAUGUGAAGGAUGUUGCUGUGGAUGAUGAAACAAAUGUUCAGGAAUGGCCAUUGGCCAGACAGCGGUAGUCUCGAAAGCCUUCCCAUAUGUUGAUUCAAAAUUGUAUCUAAUGUGAUUUAAGAGAGUGGAAAACAUUGGAGUAACAUCAGGGGAAAUCGGCUUUUGAGUUCAAAGACACGAGCACAAUUUUAAUCCUUCCCUUGGUAAUAGAUUCAAUUUAAGGCAGCAAUUAACUACAACAUGUAAAUAUUGAAAAAUGUCUUAUCUUUUGACAUUUGAAAUUGAGAUUAAUAGAAAAAGAAUUAGUCAACCGAAGACGUGGUAGUGGAUGUUGAUAUACAAAGGACAUUGGGAAUUAUCUCAUGUAAUAUCUUUUUUCUAUUGUUAUAGACUUAUAGUCCAAGAUAUAUGGAAUGAUGUUUCAGUUGAUGCGAAAUCAGUUUA